GCUGUGGCUCAGUGGUACAGCAUCUGCUUGGCAUACAGAAGAUCCUACGUUCAAUUUCCAGUUAACACAGAGGCA
Molecule: transfer RNA, 75 nt
Filed under: Sphaerodactylus townsendi
Lineage: Eukaryota; Metazoa; Chordata; Lepidosauria; Squamata; Sphaerodactylidae
Description: tRNA-Ala
Source: RNAcentral